CUGUUAUCACCUGUCAGGGUCUGCGUAUUAUGUUUGAAGAGUACUGCCAUAGGCAUUUGGAGAGAAGCUGAAGAGAGGUAGCAGCUGUAGAAUGCACAGAAGUGCUGAAGAAUUAUUAAGUCAGGAGUCUAAGAAGCUCUAUGAAAAAAGAGAUUUGAAGACAAAUUUGGGAAAUGCUGCAUACUGUAUCCCUCUUAAAGAUUCCUUAGCAAUUCUUAAAAAUGUCACGCAGAAAACUGUUUAUCCAAGUGGUUCCAACCCUGGCUGAAGAUCAGACUCUCCUGGACCACUUGAACAGGUCUGAUGCCAGGCUCUCUCGAGGCUGAUUAAAUCUGAACUGCUGGUUGGGGAAUUUGAGCACCAGCAUUUUACAGAGUCCCCAGGUGAAUGUCCAGUGUUGGGCACACUUCACCCUCUGUUAA
This is a long non-coding RNA of Molossus molossus (Pallas's mastiff bat), 422 nucleotides long. RefSeq lists it as uncharacterized. NCBI's taxonomy places the organism in Eukaryota, Metazoa, Chordata, Mammalia, Chiroptera, Molossidae. The transcript is spliced from 3 exons. The record is from RefSeq and is a predicted model, not a curated record.